Mus pahari (shrew mouse) is the source of this 328-nucleotide long non-coding RNA. RefSeq lists it as uncharacterized. The transcript has 2 exons. The record is from RefSeq and is a predicted model, not a curated record. Lineage: Eukaryota; Metazoa; Chordata; Mammalia; Rodentia; Muridae.
GGGCUUCAGAGGAGGAAGAGGAGGUGGUGGAUUCCGAGGAAGGGGACAUUAGCUGUCCAGUUGGCAGACCUGACCGCUUGUGUUCCCACUACGUGGCCUGCUUCUGCUGUGGUUGACAUCUGUGUCUGGAGCAGUCUGGAGGCCAUUCCGUCAGUGGAGCUGAGUCGGCAGCAUCACGUAGAAACAAGGGGAGCAGGACAGCCAGCUCUGCUCAGAGAGGAGAACCCCGCUUUGUACAGAACCUGGCACUCUGUGGGUGCUUAGAGAAGACAGGACUUUUCAUUUGAAGCAUAUUUGGAUUUUUUAAAUAAAAUUUUUUAUUUCCUUA